ACCUGCUCCACAUGGCACCCGGUGCUGGUGUCCGGUGCUGGCAUUUGGUGAUGGCGUCCGGUGAUGGCAUCUGGUGAUGGCGUCCGGUGAUUGCAUUUGGUGAUGGUGUUUGGUGAUGGCGUUUGGUGAUGGCGUCCGGUGAUGGCGUCCGGUGCUAUGUGUCCAGCCAACUUUGCUCUCUGCCCUGGGAUCCGCCUUGCGUGUGCUUGGGGUGUGUGCGUGCGCGAAUAUGUGUACAUACGUGUCCCUCCCAUCCAAUGUGACGAAAGCCGACCUCGCUUGGCUUACGUGCGAGCCCCGACACUGGUGACCGUGUUCUUCCCGGGCGCAGUGCCGGCCCCAGGACACCCAUCCGCGGUCCGGCCCGGUUUUCCCGGGGGCCUGUCCCCGCGCUGCAGGCAAGAAUCUGAGCUCCUUUCCGGUCACACAGCCGCCCGCCAUCGGGCUGCUCUCGCCUCUCGGCCUCCCCCGUGGUUAGAUUGUGUCCUGCUGUUACCGCGGCCACAUCGCCCUGAAAGACCAGCUGCACGCCUGUGGACGCGGGUAUCUCAGAGCAGAGCCAGAGCAGGGAGGGCGGACACCCUCCCCUUGGACCGCGGCCCUGGGCCGCCCUGACAGCGGGAGCUCACCGCCACCUGCCAGGCCAGAUCCGGGGCACUUCCCGCCCACCUCCCGCCCACCUCCCGCCCAGCCCCUGAGCCAGCGAAGCCUCACGCCAUCUCCUUGCCUGGGUCAAACCUCUUUCCUUGUCCGACUUUAAUGUCUGGAGUCCUCGCUCCAGCUCCCAGCCCAGCGCCCGGCUUCUCAUCCCCCAGGGACAGCCAGGCACACAGGAACCCUGGUCAUUUCUGAGGGGAAAUUGGGAAAACAUCAGCCUGAAAUGCCAUGAAGACACGGUGACCUGCCCUUUUAUUUGGUAGCGUGUAGAGUGAUACCACUUGUUUUAUACAUCUUCAGGGUUUUUCCCAUUGUAAUCGUGUUCAGUUUUGCAUGGCCUGGGUGUGACCAGUUUCUUGUUUGGAGUGUCAUGCUGACACAUACGUGUGCCUGGAAGAGGACACGCGAUUGCUUUGGCCUUUGGUCACGCAUUUCAUUUUGUUUGGUUUGAUGCUUUCAAUCUCUUAGGGAACGCUGAAGAGAUGCUCUGCGACCAACAGGGCGUGGAUUCUUUUGCACAAACAUUGAAGGUGGACAGUGACAAUGUGAGAGACUCCUCGCCAGUAUCUAUGUUGGAGUCACUCAGUGUUAACCAGACUUGGAUGCGUCGCAAUAAAACGGGCUGUUAGAAUGGAGGGUGCUGUCUUUCCUCCCUGAUCAUAAAGUCUGAGGACGGAGCAAAGGCGACCGACUGUCCUCACGGGCCCUGUUCCUGCCGCCCGGCUCCUCCUUACGCUGUGGAGGACGUGGGGAGGCACCAGGACUUGCUCAGUCCCGCACAGCUCAGCCGGGAGCCGCGCCCCCUUCCCCUGAAGCUCUCGGCUCUCUCAGCUCUCUGCAGGCCGAGCCCGAGUGCCUGCAUCCUGCACGGCCAGCGUCUCCCCCUCGUGGCUCUUACUGAUGCUGCGGUGAGCGUGGGUGUGGGUGUCUGUGGAUUAGUGUUUGAUUUCUUUGAAUAAGUACCCAGGAGUGGGCCUGCUGAUAGUGUGGCAGCUGUUUCUGAUUUUUUGAACAAUCUUCAUACUGGUUCCCUAGCAGCUGCCUCAGUUUACAGUCCCAACAGUUGAGGUGGGUUUCUUCCCUCCUCGCCAGCACUUGCUGAUUUCUUGGUGACGGCCAUUCUGACACGUAUGCACUGGCAUCUCAUGGUGGUUUAAUUUGCAUUUUCCUGAUCAGUGACAUUGAGCACCUUUUCAUACAUCUGUCGGCCAUUUGCUGUCCUUCUUGUAGAAGUGCCUACUGAGGUCCUCUGCCUUUUUAAUCGGAUUGUUUGGUUAACUUAUACGAGUUCCUUAUGUAUUGUGUAUGUUGACCCCUUGUCAGUGUAUCAUUGGCCAAUAAUACCAUUGCCCAGUCCGUAGGUUAUCUGUUCGUUUUAAUGGUUUCCUUCCCUGUGCAGAUCUUUUGAGUUUGAAGUUGUCCCAUUUGCUUAUUUUUUGUUUUCCUUGUCUGAGGAGACAUAUCCAAGGAGAUAUUUGCUAACAGUGAUGUCAGAUUCACUGCCUAUUUUCUUCUAGCAGGCUGUGCUUCCAGGCCUUAUGUUUAAGUCUUCAGUCCAUUUUCCGUGUAUUUUUGUACGUGAUGUAAGUGGUCCACUUUCCCUUUAUGCAUGUAUCUGUCCUACUUUCCCAGCACCACUCAUUGAAGACUCUCCUUUCCCCCUUGACUAUCCUUGCCUCCUUUUUCGUAGAUCAACUGUGUGCGCAAGGAUUCAUUUCUGGGGUCUCCGUCCUAGUCCACUGACCUGUGUGUCUGUUUUUACGCCAGCGCCGCAGGUUUAAUAAUGCAGACCUUAGUAUAGUUUGACAGCACUAAGCGUGGCACUCCUGCUUUUUGUUCUCAGAUUGUUUUGGCUGUUCAGGUCUUCUGCGGCUCCGUAUGAAUUCCAGGGUUAGUUGUUAGAAUGCUGAGAACGCCAUUGGGAUUGCACUCAAUCUGCAGACUGCUUUAGGUAGUAAGGACAUUUUAACAAUAUUAAUUCUUCCAAUCCGUGAACGUGGUAUAUAUCCUUCCAUUUAUUUGUAUCUUCUUCAGUUUUUCUUCAGUGUCUUAUAGUUUUCAUAGUACAGAUCUUUCACCUCUUUGGUUAAAUUUCUUCAUAGGUAUUUUAUGCUUUUUGAUGCAAUUGUAAAUGGGAUUGUUGUCUUAAAUUCUCUGAUAGUUAAUUGCAGCCAAUUUCUGAAUAUUAAUUUUGUGUCCUGAAUUUAUCCAUUCUAAUAGUUUUUUAGUGAAAUCUUUAGAGUUCUCUUUCUUGUAUCUGUUCAUCAGAUAUUGGCUUGUAAUUCUCUUUUCCUGUAAUGUCUCUCUCUGGUUUUGGUGUCAGGGUGAUGCUGACUUUGUGGAAUAGUUUGGAAGCACUUCUUCCUCUUCCGUUUUUUGAAACAGCUUAAGGAGAAGUAUUAAUUCUUUGAUUGUUUGAUAGAACUCACCUGUGAAGCCAUCUGGUCCUGGACUUUUAUUGGGAGGUGUGUUUUUUUAUCCUCAUCCGAGAAUGUGUGUGUUUUUUUUUUAUUUUAGAGAAACAUUGAUCGGUUGCUUCCCAUAAGCGGUUUUGGUCUACAAGACAUUCCAAUCAACUGAGCCACCAACCAGGGCCGGAGUUGUUUUUAUUACAGCUUCAACGUCACUACUAGUAAUCAUUGUUUAGAUUUUGUAUUUCUGGGUUGUCUUGUGAAGCCAUAAAUUUUCUAGAAAUGUCCCCCUUUGUUCUGGAGUGUUGAAUUUGUUGCAUGUAAUUGUACGUAAGUGCUCUUUAAUGAUGUUUUGUACUUCUGUGGUGUCGGUUGUAAUGUCUCUUUCGUUCAUAUUUUUAUUGGGGCUUUCUUAAAUGAGUUUAGCUAAUCGUUUGCCAAUUUUAGUUUUAUUUUUAAACUGUAAUUUUUGUCCAUUUUUUAAUUUUAUUUCUGCUCCGAUCUUAACUAUUUCCUUCCUUCCGUUUACUCUGGGCUUUGUUCUCUUUCAGGUCCUUCGCGUAUAGAUUUGGUUAUGACUUUCCUUGCUCCCUGGGGUCGGCCUCUAUGACUGGAUUCCCUCGGAACUGCUUUUGUUGUGUCCUUGUUACUUCCUCCCCAUCCUCACUGGUUGUUUCGGAGCGUGUUGUUCAGUCUCCACAUCUUUGAUUCUUUUUCAGUUUUCUUCCUGGGUGGGUUUCUAGUUUCAUGCCCCUCUGGUGGCAAAAGAUGCUUGAUAUAUGACUUCAGUCUUGAAUUUAUGAACCUUGUUUGGUGGCCUAGCAUGUGUUCUAUUCUGGAGACUGUUCCGUGUGCACAUGAAAGAAAAUGGGGAUUCUUAAAUUGAUGGACGAAAUGCUGACAAGGGGUUGGCGGGUGGUGCUGGACCCUCAGGGCAGCAGCUGCCAUGGAGACCACGCCUUCCCGGCCCAGAGCCCAGCGUGUUGCUUAUCCAUCUCAACUUGCAAAGGUUUGCCUUUAGCACCUUAGGACCCGUGUGCGAACCUAUUUCGGACGAAGUCUCUCCCCGUUAUUUCAGCCCCGAGAGAACUUUGCAGGUGGUCACGGUGUUCGGAGCCUCCACCUGAAUGUUCCUGUUCCCGAGCUCGUCCCGCCGGGGAAGCCACGUGUCGGGAGUUCAUUUGCGGCUGAUCUCACGUGGGUUUCACUGCGGUUCAGGAGCGCGGGCCCUGCUGGCUGCCGCUUUCCCAGUUGCCAGCAUUGCCGAGUUCCAGCUUCUUGAGUGGCUGCGGCUUUUCUGUGUGAGGGGUAGGGCCCUGGGGGGUGCACAGGGGAGCUGCUGGGGUGGUGAUGCGGGGCUGCCCCUCCCCCCUUCCAGGCUCAGGCACGUUCAGAGCCUCACACGGGCACAUGUGCAGGCCUCGCAGGAACAGGCGGCGGCGGGUGCGCACUGACCUUGGCUCCUCAUUCGUUAGGAGGAAAGAAUUCAGGCCACAACGGUAGGAUGGUUUGCCUUUUUUUGAAAAUACGUUUUUAUUGAUUUCAGAGAGAGAGGGAGAGAGAAACGUCAGUGCGUAGAGAGAAUCAUUGAUCUGCUGCCUCCUGCACGCCCCACACUGGGGCUCGAGCCUGCAGCCCGGGCCUGUGCCCUGACCGGGAAUGGAGCCCUGACCUCGUUCAUAGGUCGCCGCUCAACCACUGCGCCACGCCGGUUGGGCUGUUUUGCUUUUAUUGAAACAAGUAAAUCAGACAAUUACAAGAAUUUUACAAAAAUUAACAGCCUGUGGGGACCCCGGUCUGACCAUGUGACAUCUGCACGUUGGUAUCACUCCACCAGGGCCCUGGUCCGGAGGGGAAGGAGGGUCCCCACACGCCAUCCUCUGCCCGCCCUAGAAUACCAGAGCUGUCACUCUCCCCCUCUGCUGCUCCCGACCCUGCCCACGGGAGGCAGCAAUUCUCCAGAAACUUCCAGUUCUCACAGAACAGCAACCAGCCAGAGAGCGGGCCUCUCUCGGGCAAACAGUACUUGUGGGCACUGCUCCCGUCCGACUCCGGAUGCCGAUCACAAGCUGGAGGAAAAGGCAGAAAACACGCACACACCUUAUAGCUCAUGUUCAGCAGCAGCCAAAAGGGUUCUCUACUCUCUUCCUGGUGGCAGGGGUCUCGCCUUCUGGUUAACACUCACAUUAGGUAAAACCCGUACUAAAAGGAAAUAAAAUGGCCUUUUUAUCUUUGUCUAGAGGAUUCCAGAGGCUCAAUAAACAACUGUUAGGUUCUGACAGAGGAGCUGGGGUUUCAUUCUCAUUCGUGCACACCUCACGCCGCACCCUCUUAGCAAUAAAAA
Myotis myotis is the source of this 5412-nucleotide long non-coding RNA. RefSeq lists it as uncharacterized. NCBI's taxonomy places the organism in Eukaryota, Metazoa, Chordata, Mammalia, Chiroptera, Vespertilionidae. The record is from RefSeq and is a predicted model, not a curated record. The transcript has 2 exons.